Mytilus californianus (California mussel) is the source of this 246-nucleotide long non-coding RNA. RefSeq lists it as uncharacterized. The record is from RefSeq and is a predicted model, not a curated record. Lineage: Eukaryota; Metazoa; Mollusca; Bivalvia; Mytilida; Mytilidae. The transcript has 4 exons.
CAGACAGUAGAAAAGCUGAAAAAGAAUAGACAGACUAUUUUAGACAAUAUUGACGUAUACAAAGAUGUGGUGAAAUUGAAUACACAACUCAGAAAAGAAAUAAGAUGGAUCAUUGAAGAAUCAAAAGGAGAAAAGGAAACUAGGAGAAUAUUGGGUCUACUCAAACAGGACACAAAAGGCAUAUGUUCACCGCCAAUUGCAAAGUACAAAGAUUGUACAGAGAUAAAGAGGAAAACAAAGAAAAAA